Molecule: ribosomal RNA, 503 nt
Filed under: uncultured bacterium
Lineage: Bacteria
Description: partial 16S ribosomal RNA
Rfam family: Bacterial small subunit ribosomal RNA
Source: RNAcentral
AUUGAACGCUGGCGGCAGGCUUAACACAUGCAAGUCGAGCGGGGUGAUGGUGCUUGCACUAUCACUUAGCGGCGGACGGGUGAGUAAUGCUUAGGAAUCUGCCUAUUAGUGGGGGACAACAUCUCGAAAGGGAUGCUAAUACCGCAUACGUCCUACGGGAGAAAGCAGGGGAUCACUUGUGACCUUGCGCUAAUAGAUGAGCCUAAGUCGGAUUAGCUAGUUGGUGGGGUAAAGGCCUACCAAGGCGACGAUCUGUAGCGGGUCUGAGAGGAUGCUCCGCCACACUGGGACUGAGACACGGCCCAGACUCCUACGGGAGGCAGCAGUGGGGAAUAGUGGACAAUGGGGGGAACCCUGAUCCAGCCAUGCCGCGUGUGUGAAGAAGGCCUUAUGGUUGUAAAGCACUUUAAGCGAGGAGGAGGCUCUUUUGGUUAAUACCCAGAAUGAGUGGACGUUACUCGCAGAAUAAGCACCGGCUAACUCUGUGCCAGCCGCCGCCGUAA